RNAcentral lists this ribosomal RNA (392 nucleotides) under uncultured bacterium. Its description in RNAcentral is "bacterial SSU rRNA". It matches the Rfam family "Bacterial small subunit ribosomal RNA", at positions 29 to 424 of the family's 1533-position model. The record is from RNAcentral.
AUUAAACGCUGGCGGCAUGCCUUACACAUGCAAGUCGAACGGCAGCACGGGGGCAACCCUGGUGGCGAGUGGCGGACGGGUGAGUAACACAUCGGAACGUGCCCUGGAGUGGGGGAUAACGCAGCGAAAGCUACGCUAAUACCGCAUAUUCUGUGAGCAGGAAAGCAGGGGAUCGCAAGACCUUGCGCUUUGGGAGCGGCCGAUGUCGGAUUAGCUAGUUGGUGGGGUAAAGGCUUACCAAGGCGACGAUCCGUAGCGGGUCUGAGAGGAUGAUCCGCCACACUGGGACUGAGACACGGCCCAGACUCCUACGGGAGGCAGCAGUGGGGAAUUUUGGACAAUGGGCGGAAGCCUGAUCCAGCCAUGCCGCGUGAGUGAAGAAGGCCUCGGUU